Molecule: long non-coding RNA, 3352 nt
Filed under: Citrus x clementina
Lineage: Eukaryota; Viridiplantae; Streptophyta; Magnoliopsida; Sapindales; Rutaceae
Description: Citrus clementina (C. clementina) long non-coding RNA (CCLE_LNC001201)
Source: RNAcentral
CUCCGUGUGCCAAAAAUAGGCCGCGGGCAAAGCCGUACCAAAAAAUAACCGCCCGAAGUCCGGGGCGCAAAGUUCGUCCAGCGGAAAAAGGCCACAAAAACGGUUGCGCUAUAGCCUUGGGGGGUGGGGCUGGCCCACUUCGUCCGCCGGACUCGGAAUGCCUCGAGACUUUGUGUGGGGCCUCGUUGUGCCAAAAAUAGGCCACGGGCACAGACGCGCCCAAAAAUAACUGCCCGAAGGCCGGGGCGCCAAGUUCGUCCAGCGGAAAAAGGCCACAAAAACGGGUGGGCUAUAGCCUUGGGGGGUGGGGCUGGCCAACUUCAUCCGCCGGACUCGGAAUGCUAUGAGACCUUGCGAGGGGUCUCCGUGUGCCAAAAAUAGGCCGCGGGCAAAGCCGCGCCCAAAAAUAACAACCCGAAGGCCGGGGCGCCAAGUUCAUCCAGCGGAAAAAAGGCCACAUAAACGGGUGGGCUAUAGCCUUGGGGGGUGGGGCUGGCCAACUUCGUCCGCCAGACUCGGAAUGCCGCGAGACUUUGUGAGGGCCCUCCGUGUGCCAAAAAUAGGCCGCGGCCAAAGCCGCGCCCAAAAAUAACCGCCCGAAGGCCGAGGCGCCAAGUUCGUCCAGCGGAAAAAGGCCACAAAAACGGGUGGGCUAUAGCCUUGGGGGGUGGGGCUGGCCAACUUCGUCCGCCGGACUCGGAAUGCUACGAGACCUUGCGAAGGGCCUCCGUUUGCCAAAAAUAGGCCACGGACAAAGCCGAGCCCAAAAAUAACCGCUCGAAGGCCGGGGCGCCAAGUUCGUCCAGCGGAAAAAGGCCACACAAACGGGUGGGCUAUAGCCUUGGGGGGUGGGGCUGGCCAACUUCGUCCGCCGGACUCGGAAUGCCGCGAGACUUUGAGAUGGGCCUCCGUGUGCCAAAAAUAGGCCGCGGACAAAGCCGAGCCCAAAAAUAACUGCCCGAAGGCCGGGGCGCCAACUUCGCCCAGCGGAAAAUGGCCACAAAAACGGGUGGGCUAUAGCCUUGGGGGGUGGGGCUGGCCAACUUCGUCCGCCGGACUUCGAAUGCCGCGAGACUUUGCGACGGGCCUCCGUGUGCCAAAAAUAGGCCGUGCGCAAAGCCGUACCCAAAAAUAACCGCCCGAAUGCUGGGACGCCGAGUUCGUCCAGCGGAAAAAGGCUACACAAACGGGUGGGCUAUAGCCAUGCGGGGUGGGGCUGGCCAACUUCGUCCGCCGGACUCGGAAUGCCGCGAGACUUUGCGAGGGGCCUCCAAGUGCCAAAAAUAGGCCGCGGGCAAAGCCGCGCCAAAAAAUAACCGCCCGAAGGCCGAGGCGCCAAGUUCUUCCAGCGGAAAAAGGCCACAAAAACGGGUGGGCUAUAGCCUUGGGGGGUGGGGCUGGCCAACUUCGUCCGCCGGACUCGGAAUGCUACGAGACUUUGCGAGGGGCCUCCGUGUGCCAAAAAUAGGCCGCGGGCAAAGCCGCGCCCAAAAAUAACGACCCGAAGGCCGGAUCGUCAAGUUCGUCCAGCGGAAAAAGGCCACAAAAACGGGUGGGCUAUAGCCUUGGGGGGUGGGGCUGGCCAACUUCGUCCGCCGGACUCGGAAUGCUACGAGACCUUGCGAAGGGCCUCCGUUUGCCAAAAAUAGGCCACGGACAAAGCCGAGCCCAAAAAUAACCGCUCGAAGGCCGGGGCGCCCAGUUCGUCCAGCGGAAAAAGGCCACCAAAACCGGUGCGCUAUACCCUUGGGGGGUGGGNNNNNNNNNNNNNNNNNNNNNNNNNNNNNNNNNNNNNNNNNNNNNNNNNNNNNNNNNNNNNNNNNNNNNNNNNNNNNNNNNNNNNNNNNNNNNNNNNNNNNNNNNNNNNNNNNNNNNNNNNNNNNNNNNNNNNNNNNNAAAAGGCUGCUCUAUGUGACGCAAGCUAUAGCCUUGGGGGGUGGGGCUGGCCAACUUCGUCCGCCGGACUUGGAAUGCCGCGAGACUUUGCGAGGGGCCUCCCUGUGCCAAAAAUAGGCCGCGGGCAAAGCCGCGUCCAAAAAUAACUGCCCGAAGGCGUUCGUCCAGCGGAAAAAGGCCACAAAAACGGGUGGGCUAUAGCCUUGGGGGGUGGGGCUGGCCAACUUCGUCCGCCGGACUCGGAAUGGUGCGAGACAUUGCGAGGUGCCUCCGUGUGCCAAAAAUAGGCCGCGGGCAACGCCGCACCCAAAAAUAACCACACGAAGGCCGGGGCGCCAAGUUCGUCCCGCGGAAAAAGGCCACACAAACGGGUGGGCUAUAGCCUUGGGGGGUUGGGCACGCCAACUUCGUCCGCCGGUCUCGGAAUGCCGCGAGACUUUGCGAGGGUCCUCCGUGUGCCAAAAAUAGGCCGCGGGCAAAGCCGCGCCCAAAAAUAACACCCCGAAGGCCGGGGCGCCAAGUUCGUCCAGCGGAAAAAGGCCACAAAAACGGGUGGGCUAUAGCCUUGGGGGGUGGGGCUGGCCAACUUCGUCCGCCGGACUUGGAAUGCCGUGAGACUUUGCGAGGGGCCACCGUGUGCUAAAAAUAGGCCGUGGGUAAAGCCGCGCCCAAAAAUAACCUCCCGAAGGCCGGGGCGCCAAGUUCGUCCAGCGGAAAAAGGCCACAAAAAUGGGUGGGUUAUAACCUUGGGGUUUGGGGCUGGCCUACUUCGCCCGCCAGACUCGGAAUGCCGUGAGACUUUGCGAGGGGACUGCAUGCGCCAAAAAUAGGCCACGGCCAAAGCCAUGCCCAAAAUAACCGCCCGAAGGCCGGGGCGCCAAGUACGUCCAGCGGACAAAGGCCACAAAAACGGGUGGGCUAUAACCAUGGGGUUUGGGGCUGGCCAACUUUGUCAGCCGGACUCGGAAAGCCGCGAGACUUUGCGAGGGGCCUCCGUGUGCCAAAAAUAGGCCGCGGACAAAGCCGCACCCAAAAAUAACCGCCUGAAGGCCGGGGCGCCAAGUUCGUCCAGCGGAAAAAGGCCACAAAAAUGGGUGGGCUAUAACCUUGGGGUUUGGGGCUGGCCUACUUCGCCCGCCGGACUCGGAAAGCCGCGAGACUUUGCGAGGGGCCUCCGUGCGCCAGACAUAGGCCGCGGCCAAAGCCGCGCCCAUAAAUAACCGCCCGAAGGCCGGGGCGCCAAGCUCGUCCUGCGGAAAAAGGCCACAAAAACGGGUGGGCUAUAGCCUUUGGGGGUGGGGCAGGCCAACUUCGUCCGCCGGACUCGGAAUGCCGCGAGACUUUGCAAGAGGCCUCCGUGUGCCAAAAAUAGGCCGCGGGGAAAGCCGCACCCAAAAAUAACGGCCGGAAGGCCGAGGCACCAAGUUCGUCCAGCGGAAAAAGGCCACAAAAGCGG